This 429-nucleotide ribosomal RNA is filed under the name Verrucomicrobiota bacterium. RNAcentral describes it as "Verrucomicrobia bacterium partial 16S ribosomal RNA". It matches the Rfam family "Bacterial small subunit ribosomal RNA", at positions 355 to 776 of the family's 1533-position model. Lineage: Bacteria; Pseudomonadati; Verrucomicrobiota. The record is from RNAcentral.
UGGGGAAUCUUCCGCAAUGGACGAAAGUCUGACGGAGCAACGCCGUGUGAGUGAUGACGGUCUUCGGAUUGUAAAGCUCUGUUAAUCGGGACGAAUGGUUUGUGUGCAAAUAGUGCAUAGACAUGACGGUACCGGAAUAGAAAGCCACGGCUAACUACGUGCCAGCAGCCGCGGUAAUACGUAGGUGGCAAGCGUUGUCCGGAAUUAUUGGGCGUAAAGCGCGCGCAGGCGGACUAGCCAGUCAGUCUUAAAAGUUCGGGGCUUAACCCCGUGAUGGGAUUGAAACUACUAGUCUAGAGUAUCGGAGAGGAAAGUGGAAUUCCUAGUGUAGCGGUGAAAUGCGUAGAUAUUAGGAAGAACACCAGUGGCGAAGGCGACUUUCUGGACGAACACUGACGCUGAGGCGCGAAAGCCAGGGGAGCGAACGGG